Molecule: unclassified non-coding RNA, 1061 nt
Filed under: Hevea brasiliensis (rubber tree)
Lineage: Eukaryota; Viridiplantae; Streptophyta; Magnoliopsida; Malpighiales; Euphorbiaceae
Source: RNAcentral
CUUUCCAAUAGGGGUGGCACAUUUCUCCUCCAUCUCUUUGACUAUUUCAAUUGCUCUGGCCCAUCUACCAUCCUUCCCCAUUUUUCGAUUGACGCCGAUCGCUGCCGUAACAGUCCCAGCCACAGCGGCGGCACACACCACAGCCAAGACCACCUUCUUCUCCAUUGUGGAAAAAAAAAAAAAUUGAAAUGAAACCCAGAACCCCACACCCAGAGAUCUUUGAAGAAAGAAGGUUGUUUGUUAUAAUUAGAUUUGUAUAUGGAGAUUUUGAUAGCGUGAGACAGAAAGGAGAGUUUGUUCUUAUGAAAAAGAGUUAUGCAAAGAUUUGGUGGAAGUGAAAUAGUGAAUAGUUUGAAUCUUGGUUAGCGUUUUUAAGUUGUUUUUACAACAUCCUUUGGGAAGUGUGAUCCAAAAAUAUGGUUCCUUGAUCCUCUUCCUAUGUGUUGUUUGGCCGUGUUAAAGAGAAAACAGAGCGUGCAGCUUACUUAAUUUCCUCCCCAACAUUUUUCUUAUUUUAACAUUCAAAAAUGGAUUUUUUUUUUUAAGAUGAAUAUUUGGUAAAUUAUUGAGCCUUUAACAAAGAACAGAUUGCUCAAGACUAAUCUUGAUCACAAUACAUGAUCCAUGCGCACCUAACAGAUAAUAAGAGAGUUGGGCUGCAGAUAGAAGACAUCAAGUUGACUGAAAUCAGAUGAGACUUCAAGAAUUGCCCCGAGCGCCAGAGCCUAAGAUUGAGUGCGACAAAUGAACAAACCACAUAAAAGCACGUCAUAUCAAAUUUACGGCACAUAGUUAGGAAAAGCAGGCGAAUCAUGUGCAAAGCCACUCUAUUUUCUACAAUAGAAGAGCCUCUUAGCAUCCAAAGGGACUUUGCCUUCCUCCUGUUCCAACCUUAUUUAAAUAUAAUUUUAAGGAUUAAUAUUUAUUUCAUAUUUUAACUUGCUUAAAUGAACAUUUCUCAUCAUGGAGGUUGCAAAUUGCAAUAUAUUGUAUACUAAAUUAGUUCCAACCCAGAAUCAAAAUAUAAAAUUUUCACACUUUCCAGAUGAAAUUCAAAAAAA